AGAGUUUGAUCAUGGCUCAGGACGAACGCUGGCUGCGUGCUUAACACAUGCAAGUCGAACGCUGAAGCCCUCAGCUUGCUGGGGGUGGAUGAGUGGCGAACGGGUGAGUAACACGUGAGUAACCUGCCCCUGAUUUCGGGAUAAGCCCGGGAAACUGGGUCUAAUACCGGAUAUGACCACUGGCCGCAUGGUUGGUGGUGGAAAGUUUUUUCGAUUGGGGAUGGGCUCGCGGCCUAUCAGUUUGUUGGUGGGGUAAUGGCCUACCAAGGCGACGACGGGUAGCCGGCCUGAGAGGGCGACCGGCCACACUGGGACUGAGACACGGCCCAGACUCCUACGGGAGGCAGCAGUGGGGAAUAUUGCACAAUGGGGGAAACCCUGAUGCAGCGACGCAGCGUGCGGGAUAACGGCCUUCGGGUUGUAAACCGCUUUCAGCAGGGAAGAAGCCGUGAGGUGACGGUACCUGCAGAAGAAGUACCGGCUAACUACGUGCCAGCAGCCGCGGUAAUACGUAGGGUACGAGCGUUGUCCGGAAUUAUUGGGCGUAAAGAGCUCGUAGGUGGUUGGUCACGUCUGCUGUGGAAACGCAACGCUUAACGUUGCGCGGGCAGUGGGUACGGGCUGACUAGAGUGCAGUAGGGGAGUCUGGAAUUCCUGGUGUAGCGGUGAAAUGCGCAGAUAUCAGGAGGAACACCGGUGGCGAAGGCGGGACUCUGGGCUGUGACUGACACUGAGGAGCGAAAGCAUGGGGAGCGAACAGGAUUAGAUACCCUGGUAGUCCAUGCCGUAAACGUUGGGCACUAGGUGUGGGGGACAUUCCACGUUUUCCGCGCCGUAGCUAACGCAUUAAGUGCCCCGCCUGGGGAGUACGGUCGCAAGGCUAAAACUCAAAGGAAUUGACGG
Molecule: ribosomal RNA, 903 nt
Filed under: uncultured Brevibacterium sp.
Lineage: Bacteria; Bacillati; Actinomycetota; Actinomycetes; Micrococcales; Brevibacteriaceae
Description: bacterial SSU rRNA
Rfam family: Bacterial small subunit ribosomal RNA
Source: RNAcentral